GACGAACGCUGGCGGCGUGCUUAACACAUGCAAGUCGAACGGAAAGGCCCUGCUUGCAGGGUACUCGAGUGGCGAACGGGUGAGUAACACGUGGGUGAUCUGCCCUGCACUUCGGGAUAAGCCUGGGAAACUGGGUCUAAUACCGGAUAGGAGCCAUUUUUAGUGUGAUGGUUGGAAAGUUUUUUCGGUGUAGGAUGAGCUCGCGGCCUAUCAGCUUGUUGGUGGGGUAAUGGCCUACCAAGGCGGCGACGGGUAGCCGGCCUGAGAGGGCGGACGGCCACAUUGGGACUGAGAUACGGCCCAGACUCCUACGGGAGGCAGCAGUGGGGAAUAUUGCACAAUGGGCGCAAGCCUGAUGCAGCGACGCCGCGUGGGGGAUGACGGCCUUCGGGUUGUAAACUCCUUUCGCUAGGGACGAAGCUUUUGUGACGGUACCUAGAGAAGAAGCACCGGCUAACUACGUG
Molecule: ribosomal RNA, 464 nt
Filed under: uncultured bacterium
Lineage: Bacteria
Description: partial 16S ribosomal RNA
Rfam family: Bacterial small subunit ribosomal RNA
Source: RNAcentral